UACAGAGGGGGCAAGCGUUGUUCGGAAUUACUGGGCGUAAAGGGCGCGUAGGCGGCCUGUUAAGUCGAACGUGAAAUCCCUGGGCUCAACCCAGGAACUGCGUCCGAUACUGGCAGGCUUGAAUCCGGGAGAGGGAUGCGGAAUUCCAGGUGUAGCGGUGAAAUGCGUAGAUAUCUGGAGGAACACCGGUGGCGAAGGCGGCAUCCUGGACCGGUAUUGACGCUGAGGCGCGAAAGCCAGGGGAGCAAACGGG
RNAcentral lists this ribosomal RNA (253 nucleotides) under uncultured bacterium. Its description in RNAcentral is "partial 16S ribosomal RNA". It matches the Rfam family "Bacterial small subunit ribosomal RNA", at positions 524 to 776 of the family's 1533-position model. The record is from RNAcentral.